GAGGAUAUAGCUCAGUGGUAGAGCACGCACUUAACGUGCAUGAGGUCCUGGGUUCAAUCCCCAGUACCUCCA
Molecule: transfer RNA, 72 nt
Filed under: Camelus dromedarius (Arabian camel)
Lineage: Eukaryota; Metazoa; Chordata; Mammalia; Artiodactyla; Camelidae
Also listed under: 1 other name
Rfam family: tRNA
About the family: Transfer RNA (tRNA) molecules are approximately 80 nucleotides in length. Their secondary structure includes four short double-helical elements and three loops (D, anti-codon, and T loops). Further hydrogen bonds mediate the characteristic L-shaped molecular structure. tRNAs have two regions of fundamental functional importance: the anti-codon, which is responsible for specific mRNA codon recognition, and the 3' end, to which the tRNAs corresponding amino acid is attached (by aminoacyl-tRNA synthetases). tRNAs cope with the degeneracy of the genetic code in two manners: having more than one tRNA (with a specific anti-codon) for a particular amino acid; and 'wobble' base-pairing, i.e. permitting non-standard base-pairing at the 3rd anti-codon position.
Source: Rfam by way of RNAcentral